UCCAGUUCCCUUUCCCCCUGGAGCUGAAUGCUAGUCUUGGUGGUUAUAAAGACCAAAAAGGAAUAUGGAAGCUGGCCUCACAGCCUCACUGUCUGAUACAUAGCAUGUGGGCUAGUUUCAAACAGGA
Octodon degus (degu) is the source of this 127-nucleotide small nucleolar RNA. Lineage: Eukaryota; Metazoa; Chordata; Mammalia; Rodentia; Octodontidae. The record is from Ensembl.